AAAUUGAAGAGUUUGAUCAUGGCUCAGAUUGAACGCUGGCGGCAGGCCUAACACAUGCAAGUCGAACGGUAACAGGAAACAGCUUGCUGUUUCGCUGACGAGUGGCGGACGGGUGAGUAAUGUCUGGGAAACUGCCUGAUGGAGGGGGAUAACUACUGGAAACGGUAGCUAAUACCGCAUAAUGUCGCAAGACCAAAGAGGGGGACCUUCGGGCCUCUUGCCAUCGGAUGUGCCCAGAUGGGAUUAGCUAGUAGGUGGGGUAACGGCUCACCUAGGCGACGAUCCCUAGCUGGUCUGAGAGGAUGACCAGCCACACUGGAACUGAGACACGGUCCAGACUCCUACGGGAGGCAGCAGUGGGGAAU
Molecule: ribosomal RNA, 365 nt
Filed under: Escherichia coli
Lineage: Bacteria; Pseudomonadati; Pseudomonadota; Gammaproteobacteria; Enterobacterales; Enterobacteriaceae
Description: bacterial SSU rRNA
Rfam family: Bacterial small subunit ribosomal RNA
Source: RNAcentral